GGGCCCAUAGUAAAUCGGCAUUACGGAUCCAUGGCAUGGAUCAGGGCCGGGUUCGAUUCCCGGUGGGUCCACAA
Molecule: transfer RNA, 74 nt
Filed under: Candidatus Staskawiczbacteria bacterium RIFCSPHIGHO2_02_FULL_42_22
Lineage: Bacteria; Candidatus Staskawicziibacteriota
Also listed under: 1 other name
Description: tRNA-Ala
Source: RNAcentral